GCAGUAGCCGCGGGAAUACAGAGGGUGCGAGCGUUAAUCGGAUUUACUGGGCGUAAAGCGUGCGUAGGCGGCUUCUUAAGUCGGAUGUGAAAUCCCUGAGCUUAACUUAGGAAUUGCAUUCGAUACUGGGAAGCUAGAGUAUGGGAGAGGAUGGUAGAAUUCCAGGUGUAGCGGUAAAAUGCGUAGAGAUCUGGAGGAAUACCGAUGGCGAAGGCAGCCAUCUGGCCUAAUACUGACGCUGAGGUACAAAAGCAUGGGGAGCAAACAGGAUUAGAUACCCCAGUAGUCCCUGUCUCUUAUAA
This 302-nucleotide ribosomal RNA is filed under the name uncultured bacterium. Its description in RNAcentral is "partial 16S ribosomal RNA". It matches the Rfam family "Bacterial small subunit ribosomal RNA", at positions 508 to 809 of the family's 1533-position model. The record is from RNAcentral.